Molecule: ribosomal RNA, 497 nt
Filed under: uncultured bacterium
Lineage: Bacteria
Description: partial 16S ribosomal RNA
Rfam family: Bacterial small subunit ribosomal RNA
Source: RNAcentral
GAUGAACGCUGGCGGCAUGCCUAACACAUGCCAGUCGAGCGGCAAUACGGGGAGCUUGCUCCUCUGCCGUUAGCGGCGGCCGGGUGAGUUAAACGUGGAUAACAAACUCAUAAGUCUUGGAUAAAUUCGUGAAACCGCUUCUGAUACCGGUUAAUAUAUUGAACGGCAUUGGUCAAUGGUUAAUGAUGGAUUUGCUGAUACUAGUAGCUGGAUUCACGACGGAUUGGCUGGUGGGUAGGGUAACGGCUAAACAAGGCGACGAUGCGUAGCUGACCUGAGAGGGUUGUCCGCCACACUGGAACUGAGACACGAUCCAGACUCCUACGGGAGGCAGCAGUAGGGAAUCUUGGACAAUGGGCGAAAGCUUGAGGGAGCAAGGCCGCGUGAGUGAAGAAGGUCUUCGGAUAGUAAAGCCCUGUUAUUGGGGAAGAAAAGCUGGGUGUGAAGUCACGGACGUUUUGACGGUACCUAAUUAAUAAGCCACGGCUAACUUCGUG